This 340-nucleotide long non-coding RNA is filed under the name Lathyrus oleraceus (garden pea). RNAcentral describes it as "Pisum sativum (pea) long non-coding RNA (PSAT_LNC002703)". Lineage: Eukaryota; Viridiplantae; Streptophyta; Magnoliopsida; Fabales; Fabaceae. The record is from RNAcentral.
AAACCAAAUGUUAUACUAAAGAAAUAAAACAAAAACAUUAAAUAUUGUUGCAAUAAACAAUCAUCUUGCAUCUAAUAGAAAAUCAGACUCAUUUAUAAUCAUUGAUGAAUGAGACUCAUAUGCAUUCAAGAAAAACCAUUUAAUCCCUCGUAUUCCUAACAAAAAGCACCUUAAAGUUAUAUUCAAAGGUGAUAUAUAUGGCUUAGUACAUUCUAACUUUAAUUAUUACAACGGUAACCUUUCAAAAAUAUGAAUAAGACCACCUUGAGAGAAUCAUUCUUUGAGAUCACUCAAAACAUCAACAACAUUCUCCAUGAAAACGAAGAACUGAGCAACUAAA